UUCACUCAGUUCACUUUUCAUUUUCACUCAGUAGAAUGCCGUUUUCAUUUCACUUCAUCUUCCUUUUUUCUUCUUUUUCGAAUCUCAGUUUUCAGUUCACUUUGCAUCUUCAUUUUUGAAUGUUCAUCUUCUUAAGGAAAUGUCCACAACUGGAGACAAUAGCAAUGAUUUUAUGGAGAUACUUUUUUCUAAUUCGGAGGAGGAAUCUGAACCUGAGGUUUUGAUGGUGUAACAUUCCGGCCUCUCGGACCGUUGGUGACUACUCUUGGAGACUGUAGACUAGCCCAACAAACCAACACAAGUCUUUCCGGCGCACUUUGUCCUCACUCGUGCGCACCCGGAAAAACUUCCCAGGAGGUCACCCAUUCUAAGAUUGCUCUCCACCAAACACGCUUAAUUGUUGAGUUUUUAGCAAAUGGGCUCCCUAGAAAAGAAGAUGCACCUUGUUGGUAUGAGUAGUCUAUCAAUCUUUUUUCAAGUUAAAUCUAAGAUAUUACACUCACCCCCACUUAAGAAUACAGCGUCCUCGUUGGAUCGUAACUUCAGGAUCUUUUCCCCCGCUAGGUGCACUGAACACUAUCAGCCACGGUUGUAGGGUUGUUCUGAUACCAUUUGUAACACCCCGGGCUCUCGGAUCGCUAGUGACUACUCUUGGAGACUGUAAACUAGCCCCACAAACCAACAUAAGUCUUUCCAGCGCACUUUGGCCUCACUCGUACGCACCCGGAAAAACUUCCCAGGAGGUCACCCAUCCUAAGAUUGCUCUCCACCAAGCACGCUUAAUUGUGGAGUUCUUAGCAAAUGGGCUCCCUAGAAAAAAAAAUGCACCUUGUUGGUAUGAGUAGUCUAUUAAUUUUUUUUCAAGCUAAAUCUAGGAUAUUACAGAUGGAGGUUCAAUCCAAGAAAAAGAAGGGAAAAGAUUGUGGAAAAACAACAAAGAAUGAAGAAGAUGAAUCUAAGGGUAAGCGUAAAAAGCCUUCUACUGCUUGAGAUCAUUUUAGUGAAAUCCCUAGUGAUACAAAUUUUGCGCUCUACUGUUAAUGGAACUAAUGCUAUGAGACGUGACUCCUUUUUUUGUUGACAAAAGGCAAACAAUUUUAGUUUUUGAGUCUAAAACAAGAGUAAACUCCGAUGGAACUGUUGAGACUGUGAGUGUUUCUAAAUUAUGGCAUUUUAAUCAAGAUGAAAUAAGAGAAGCAAUUGCUGAAAUGAUAAUUAUUGAUGAAUUGCCAUUAGUUUUGUAGACUGUGAGGGUUUUCGUAAGCUUUGUAAGGUUGCUAUUCCUGAUUUCAUUCCUGUGUCUGACCACAUAAUAGAAAGAAAUUAAAGAGUUUUUUUAAGAAUUUGACAUUUAGGGUUUGUCUUACCACAAAUACAUGGCCUUCUGGUCAAAAUUUGUCGUAUAUGUGUCUAAUUGCUCAAUUUAGAGAUGACAAUUGGAAUUUGCAUAAAAAAAUUAUUAAUUUUUGCCCUGCUGCUGGUCAAUCUGGGAAACUUAUUGGUAAAGUUGUUAAAAAGUGUCUUCUUGCAUGGGGUCUUAAAAAAGUACUCACAUUAACUGUCGACAAUGCUAGUUCUUAUGAUUUAGCCAUUAAAUAUUUAAAAGAGGUAAUCAAGCUUUGGGAUGAUUGUGUGUUGAAUGCUGAGUUUUUACAUAUGAGAUGUGUUGCACAUAUUUUGAAUCUAGUUGUCAAAGAUGGUUUUAGAGAAGUUGAUAGAGCUGUUUUGAAAGUCCGAGCUGCUGUGAAAUAUGUGAGGUCUUCCCCUGCAAGGUUAAAAAAGUUUAGGGCAUGUGUUUUAGAGGAAAGUUUAAGUUGUAAGGGUCUUGUUAACUUAGACAUUAAAACAAGGUGGAAUUUCACUUACAACAUGCUUAAAAUUGCAUUGACAUUUAGGAAGGCUUUUAAAAAUUUGAAAACAAAGUUCUCUCCUUAUGUAAGAGAGCUUAAUAAGGUGAUGGUGCACCUGAAGAUGAUGAUUGGGAUAGGGUUGCUGUGUUUUUGACUUGAGAUUUUCUAUGAUGCUAUUUUGAGUUUGUCUGGCUCAAGAAAUGUCACAUGUAAUGCAGUUUUUGAACAGAUUUAUGACAUUGGUUAUGCCAUUAAGACUCAUCUUAAUGACCAAGAUGAAAGUCUGAAGCAAAUGGCAAAAUUAAUGAAGGAUAAAUAUGACAAGUAUUUGACAAAAUGUUAAUGUCAAUAAUGUUUUGAUGUUCAUGCUUUAGUUCUUGAUCCAAGACUUAAGUUAAAAUACGUUGAGUGGAUUGUUUAAUGGUCUUAUGAUUAUAUUGACUCAAUUAGCAUGUGUGAACGGAUUAGAGAUAGUUUCGUGAAAUUGUUUGAUUUUUAUGCAUCUUCCCAACACACAAAGAAGAUUGGUUCAUGUUCUAGUGUUUCUAGUGUUUAUGUUGGCAUCGAUACGAUUGAGGUUGAGGGGAAAAGGAGCAAGGGGUCAAGAUUAAGAAAGGAAUAUGUGAAUGAAAUUGGAAAAUUCACUUCGGAAGUAAUAACUAAGUUGGAUAAGUAUUUAGGAAGUGAGUGAGGAUAAUGAUGAUGAGUUAUAUUGUCUUGGUGGUUUGGACAAGGGAAAACCUAUCCAAUUCUUAUGUUUAUGGCUAGAGAUGUACUAGUUUUUCCAGUUUCGAGUGUUGCUUCAGAGUUCGCUUUUAGCACGGGAGAAUGUGUUCUUGAUCAAUUUUGUACUUUGACUCCUCGAAUGGUAGAAGCUCUCAAUUGUUGUCAAGAUUGGAUUCAUACUUCGGAUCAAUUUGCAUAGAGGAAAGUUUAUUAGAGUUGGAAAGUAUCGAAGAAGGCAUGGAAGAUUUAGUUUUAGAGCAACCAACUAUUAUCAUUGAUGAAACGACCGCUAUUCCGACAGAAAAAUGAGCAAAUGAAGACUUUGGACUGUAAUUGUUAUGUUAUUGAAGACGUUUGUAAUUGAGAAUUGUGGACUUUGUUUUGUUUGGACUUUUAUUUAAAACUUUGCUUUGUUUGUUUGGGACUUUAAGGUGGACUAUUAGUAUUUUAUGGUGGACUAUGGUUUAUUCGGGACUUUGAACAACAUUGACAUUAUAUAUUACUUCUGAGUUUUGAAAAUUAGAAUAUUAAUUUUAAAAUUUAAAAUUCUGCCUAAAUCAGUAAAUCUGUAUCUGUCCAAAUUUUCUACCUAGAAUUUUAUAAUAAAUACUAUAAUUAAAUCUGUUAAAAUAAUCAAAAUAAAAAUCGGGUACUCAGUGUUCUGACUCGUUUUAUUCGGGUACUCGAAAAUCGGGUACCCGCAUUAAAUGGGAGGGGACACGGGCUGUUUAAAAAGUUUGCCGGGUACUCGGUAAUAAAUACCCUUACUCAUAAUCAUUUUGAACAAAUUUGUUAAAUUAGAAAAAAAAAAGAGAUCCAUGUUUGAUCAAUUAAAUAACAAUAAAAAGCAAUUAAAAUCUAAAUUUCUAAAUAAAUUAUUCACAUGCAUAUAAGAAAAUAUGAUGUCAAAAAAUCAAUAAAUAAAAAAAAUUAAGAAAAUGAAAGAGAUAAAAAUGUACUAAUGCAAAAGAUAUGGCCCAUUCAUCCAGAUUGGU
Molecule: long non-coding RNA, 3571 nt
Organism: Amaranthus tricolor (Joseph's coat)
Lineage: Eukaryota; Viridiplantae; Streptophyta; Magnoliopsida; Caryophyllales; Amaranthaceae
Exons: 3
Source: RefSeq, a predicted model, not a curated record